This is a long non-coding RNA of Mauremys reevesii (Reeves's turtle), 522 nucleotides long. RefSeq lists it as uncharacterized. The transcript has 3 exons. NCBI's taxonomy places the organism in Eukaryota, Metazoa, Chordata, Testudines, Geoemydidae. The record is from RefSeq and is a predicted model, not a curated record.
CCCACUGCUGCUGGGUUUGUGGGAAGCAGGUGUCUGCCAGCUGGGGAGAAGGCAGAGAGCUCUGAGCAGGCAGGGGGUAUCUGGAAGCUGGGGAGAAGGCAGAGAGCUCUGAGCGGGCAGGCUGCUGCCCAGGAGUUUGCAGAGGACGGGUCUCUUGCAUCCCUGUUCUCUGCUGCCUGCAUGACACAGGAGGAGUUUGGUUGCUCCCGCCUUGCACAGAAGAGGAGGUCGGCACAUGAUACACACACCACGGUUUCGUGGCUGCCAUCUGUGGUGCUCGUGCCUGCUGGGAGUGGAGGCACUGUGGCCCAGUGGGCUGAGCAGAGGCCUGGCAGGCGAGACAUGGGCUCUGUCCCCAGCUGUGCCGCGGACUUGCCGUGGGACCUUGGGCACUCAGCAGACUUCAGUCCGGAUUGGCCUGAGAUGCCCCUGUGUGCUUUGAAGCGCAGUGGAGAAGGGAGUUCAUUACAGCUUCCUAUGCCCUGCGCGCUUCGGCUCCUUCCCGGACUGCCCCGGCAUCCC